This 458-nucleotide ribosomal RNA is filed under the name uncultured bacterium. RNAcentral's name for it is "bacterial SSU rRNA". It matches the Rfam family "Bacterial small subunit ribosomal RNA", at positions 138 to 626 of the family's 1533-position model. The record is from RNAcentral.
GGGGGACAACCGCGGGAAACUGCGGCUAAUACCGCAUGACGACUAUGGUCCAAAGGCCGAAAGGUCGCCUGAGGAGGAGCCUGCGUCCGAUUAGCUAGUUGGUGGGGUAAGAGCUUACCAAGGCGAUGAUCGGUAGCUGGUCUGAGAGGAUGAUCAGCCACACUGGGACUGAGACACGGCCCAGACUCCUACGGGAGGCAGCAGUGGGGAAUAUUGGACAAUGGGCGCAAGCCUGAUCCAGCAAUGCCGCGUGUGUGAAGAAGGUCUUCGGAUUGUAAAGCACUUUCGGCGGGGACGAUGAUGACGGUACCCGCAGAAGAAGCCCCGGCUAACUUCGUGCCAGCAGCCGCGGUAAUACGAAGGGGGCUAGCGUUGCUCGGAAUGACUGGGCGUAAAGGGCGCGUAUGCGGUUUGAACAGUUGGGCGUGAAAUUCCAGGGCUUAACCUUGGGACUGCGU